Molecule: long non-coding RNA, 973 nt
Filed under: Homo sapiens (human)
Lineage: Eukaryota; Metazoa; Chordata; Mammalia; Primates; Hominidae
Description: HSALNT0348358
Source: RNAcentral
UUAUUACAGCUAGCAGAUAUUUAAUAAUGUUAGCACAGGUCUUUGAAUAAAUUUUGCUUCUAAGAAAAGUUACUAUUUACUCCUAAUUAGACGGAGACGAAAGUCUUUGAAGAGGAACCUCUACUUUACUUUUUACAAAGAUGUCAUGAAAAAGGAAUGCUAUUAAAAAAUCGGAGACAAACAAAGGCUCCUAGAAAUUAAAAAUUAAGUUAGAUCAUCUGAAAUUAAAAUUUUAAAUUAAGAUGAGGAGAUAUAAUGAAGUUUCCCACUAAAUAAUAUGAAAAAACAAAAUUAAAAACCAAAAAAAUGGAAUGGACAAUAACAGGGCCCACUGAAUAUCCAAAUGAUGAGUUCAAAAAGACCCUCACGAAGACAUAGACUCAUGAAAUUUCAGAACACUGAAGAAAAUGAAAGAGGAAAAAGAAAAAGAAGAAAAAAUAUGUCAUAUCAAAAGGAUCAGGUAUCACAAUAGCUGUUGAUCUUCUCAUCAACAAUGGAACAAAGACUUUAAAUUUCUGAAAGAAAGCAAAGAGUAGAUGUGCUCCACCAAAAUGAAGGAAUAAACUAAGAACUCUGAGGAUGGCAUGGGAUCCAACACAGGAAAGAGAAGCCAUGAAGCAAAUCUACUGCAUGAGAUUGUGCACUUUGACCUCUGCUGAGCAGGUGAGAGCAGGGCUAAGACUCAGCUGCUCCCCAAGCCAAGAUACUCAUGGAACUAAGCCUGGGCACGAUUUCUCAUUGGCCUACAUAGAGAGGAUCCUUUUUGCAACUGGACUUAUCAGAGGACGUACCUUUUAUCUAGUUCACAGAAGAUGCUCUAUAUCCUAGUUGCACUUCUGAUUGUCUGCCUAAAUAAGUCUCUAUUUUAAUAUUUUGAUUAAUUUGCAUUUGGACAAAACUAUAAGACUAUGAGCAGUGCUCUAAUCUGUAAGAUCAUGACCUAUAUUUACAGAUUAAUGACAAAUGUCCAGUG